This 251-nucleotide ribosomal RNA is filed under the name uncultured bacterium. RNAcentral's name for it is "partial 16S ribosomal RNA". It matches the Rfam family "Bacterial small subunit ribosomal RNA", at positions 525 to 775 of the family's 1533-position model. The record is from RNAcentral.
ACGGAGGAUCCGAGCGUUAUCCGGAUUUAUUGGGUUUAAAGGGUGCGUAGGCGGCCUUUUAAGUCAGCGGUGAAAGUCUGUGGCUCAACCAUAGAAUUGCCGUUGAAACUGGGGGGCUUGAGUAUGUUUGAGGCAGGCGGAAUGCGUGGUGUAGCGGUGAAAUGCUUAGAUAUCACGCAGAACCCCGAUUGCGAAGGCAGCCUGCCAAGCCAUGACUGACGCUGAUGCACGAAAGCGUGGGGAUCAAACAG